RNAcentral lists this unclassified non-coding RNA (203 nucleotides) under uncultured Trechispora. RNAcentral's name for it is "sequence contains ITS2". Lineage: Eukaryota; Fungi; Basidiomycota; Agaricomycetes; Polyporales; Polyporaceae. The record is from RNAcentral.
AGUCAUCAACCGCUCCCGUUUGAAAGCGGGGGACGGGUUGGAUCUGGGGGCGUGCCGCUGCGAAGCGGCUCCCUUCAAAUGCAUCGGUUGGACCUGUGGGUCGAACUCGACUGGGCGUUGUAACAUCCUCGCUCUACCGAGAGGUUCCCCUUUGGCGUCCUCCCACGACCGCCUGCGGAGUGGCGGUCAACUUGCUUUGAAAU